Molecule: long non-coding RNA, 415 nt
Organism: Rhinopithecus roxellana (golden snub-nosed monkey)
Lineage: Eukaryota; Metazoa; Chordata; Mammalia; Primates; Cercopithecidae
Exons: 3
Source: RefSeq, a predicted model, not a curated record
CCCAGGGAAGGGUUGAUGUUGCGGCUUGAGUCCAAAGGCAGACUGAAAGCAGAAUUCCCUCUUCCUUGGGAUCCUUUUUUCUCUUAAGGCCUUCGACUGACUGGAUGAGGCCAACCCACAUUAUGAAAGGGCAACUGAGAUUACCUGGGAGACUUUACCUGCAUGAGAAGACCAUCUUUGUUCAUUUCUGUUCCUCAAGCUGGAAUGUAGUGGCAGGAUCAUGGCCCACUGCAGCCUUGAACUCCUGGACUGAAGGAAUCCUCCUGCCUCAGCCUCCUCAGUAGCUGGGACUACAGCCCUUUUUCUGUCUAUAAAGCCAACCACAUCUGCUCCAUUCAAGGGAACACCUAUUCUGUUUUAUGGAAUGAAGUGGUGCCUGAAUCUAGAAUUGCAAUAAAGCCAAGUGAGAUCUUUA